GAGAUAUUAUUGAUUAAGCCGCUAACUUAAAAUAAGGUUCUACCUAUAUCUCC
RNAcentral lists this transfer RNA (53 nucleotides) under Nocticola sp. JW1 9/1. RNAcentral's name for it is "tRNA-Ser". The record is from RNAcentral. Lineage: Eukaryota; Metazoa; Arthropoda; Insecta; Blattodea; Nocticolidae.